Molecule: transfer RNA, 71 nt
Filed under: Candidatus Pacearchaeota archaeon CG1_02_32_21
Lineage: Archaea; Nanobdellati
Also listed under: 1 other name
Description: tRNA-Ala
Rfam family: tRNA
About the family: Transfer RNA (tRNA) molecules are approximately 80 nucleotides in length.
Source: RNAcentral
GGGCCUGUAGUCUAGUGGCAGAAUACGUCGUUUGCAACGAUGAGACCUGGGUUCGAUUCCCGGCAGGUCCA